This 81-nucleotide antisense RNA is filed under the name Shewanella woodyi ATCC 51908. RNAcentral describes it as "antisense RNA of dnaA mRNA". It matches the Rfam family "antisense RNA of dnaA mRNA". Lineage: Bacteria; Pseudomonadati; Pseudomonadota; Gammaproteobacteria; Alteromonadales; Shewanellaceae. The record is from Rfam by way of RNAcentral.
UUUUGCAUUCGGCUUAUUCUUAAUGAUGCCAUUACCCACAGCGUGUAAUAAGUGAGUCUUACCUAAACCGGUUCCGCCAUA